Long non-coding RNA from Quercus robur (English oak), 669 nucleotides. RefSeq lists it as uncharacterized. The transcript has 2 exons. Lineage: Eukaryota; Viridiplantae; Streptophyta; Magnoliopsida; Fagales; Fagaceae. The record is from RefSeq and is a predicted model, not a curated record.
GUUCCCAAUUGCCUAUGUCAGUGCCACAACAGCCUGUAUGGCAUGCCCACUUGACUAUUGUCAUAUAUUUCAUGUUUUGCUGCACAAAUACCAUGUCCAUUGCAUGAUUUGUUUUGAAAUUUCAUUUUGCAGAUUUCACUUUGGGAUGGCAUUAUAGCUUCUAAAGAGCAUGCAAAGUUUUGGACACAUACCUCUAACAAGUAUCGUUUUAUUGAUCAGGGAAGCAACCUUCGUGGUAAAGAGUUUAACUUGGCAUUGCAUUGGCAUGUCAUGCCCAAGACUGGCAAGAUGUUUGCUGACAAACUAGUCAUGUCCGGAUACUGCUUGCCGAAGGAAUAUAGAUGAGGUUUCUUGUGUAUGUUGUUGCUGUAACUUCAGCCUUUUUGAUAUGGGGAUACAAAAGGUCAACCGAAUUAGGUCACAAACAGGCAAAGUUACAUGUUUUAGAGACAGAAAAUGAAUAUUGCUUACAAUUUUAGACCCACAAAAUAUUGUUGCCAGUUAUCUGUUUCUUGCUCCUGCCCCACAUCCUUUUGCCCCAUUCUCACAUAAGGCAUACCCAUAAAACUCAGUUACUGAACAGACUUACCUAUCAAAACACACUUUUUUAUUUUUAUAGGCCUUUCUAGUUUCUAGGCUGACUAGUCAAAGCAUGGAAUUAAUUGCCAA